UACAGAGGGGGCAAGCGUUAUUCGGAAUUAUUGGGCGUAAAGGGCGCGUAGGCGGCAUGGCAAGUGGAUGGUGAAAUCCCUCGGCUUAACCGAGGAACUGCCGUCCAAACUGCUUCGCUUGAGACCGGGAGAGGUGAGUGGAAUUCCCAGUGUAGCGGUGAAAUGCGUAGAUAUUGGGAGGAACACCAGUGGCGAAGGCGGCUCACUGGACCGGUACUGACGCUGAUGCGCGAAAGCGUGGGGAGCAACGGG
RNAcentral lists this ribosomal RNA (252 nucleotides) under uncultured bacterium. RNAcentral describes it as "partial 16S ribosomal RNA". It matches the Rfam family "Bacterial small subunit ribosomal RNA", at positions 524 to 775 of the family's 1533-position model. The record is from RNAcentral.